This 2503-nucleotide long non-coding RNA is filed under the name Homarus americanus (American lobster). Its description in RNAcentral is "uncharacterized LOC121875274, transcript variant X2". The record is from RNAcentral. Lineage: Eukaryota; Metazoa; Arthropoda; Malacostraca; Decapoda; Nephropidae.
GUAGAGAGAGAGAGAGAGAGAGGGUAGUUAUUACAGAUAAUUAACCAUCUCCCCUCUGGCCAUUAGACUCACCUACUACUGUUUAUACUGCAAGGAAAAAAAAACACAACACGAUAUCAAAGUUAACAAUUCCUGCAUCAUUCUAUUAUGGAUUAUACUGUACAAGUCAACAAAGCAAAAAAAAAAAAAUUCUAUUGUGGUUCAUUUUUAUUCACUAUUUGACAAGAGUAGAAAUAUAUUACCUGUUUGGAUAGUGAUUACGGAUUAACGCGAUGAUCAUUAUUAAUAUGUCAUUUAGUUUUAAAAGAGUUAAGUCGACGGUAAAAACACAAAUUACUAUUGGAACCCAGAUUUUUAUUUUCGAUAUAUAUACAACGAUUCAUCAUUGUAUUAACUUGACAUUAAUUAGGUCAUUUAUUUGUUUUAAUCGUCAAAAAAAUACAAUUAAUAAAGGAUAAUAUUGUCAAUAGUGGAUGGUGUGAUUAGGUAUUUUAUUUUUCAGAUGCAUUAGUGCGUGUACUCUUCACUGUGUUGUGAGGCGCACUGAGGGAUGCCGCACCACAACCUUCACAUGACAUCUGGCAGCGUGAGGGAAAACAUAUCGUACUGCACGAACCAGGGGUGUUGUCGCUGAGGUUAAGUGUACCUGCCCAUUGAGCCACGGCCACCUAGAUAAGAUCCAUCAUGUUGACUCUCCUUGGAGUGGAGGCUGCCCUGGGAAGAAGGUGAGGAACAACAGUGAUGGCAAUUGUCUGAAGAAUGACGCCAUGUGUUAGAAGAGGUUGUUACCUAUCUAGAAUACCUUGAUGAAGCCUGAAAAGGUGGCAAGUAUUAAAGUUAUAGGUACAGUAUGUAAAGUAUGUUGAGUUUGUGUUAGAAAAGAGGAGUUCAGAACCAGUUUUUUGCUGAAGGGUUAGUGCAAGCUUUGGGGACUUGUCUAUCUUCCAUUUUUGUAGUGGGUAGUAUGGAAGUUGGCUGAAACAGGAUGAUAAUGAUUCCUGGAAUCCAGUAUAACCAAUUCAUAUCAUGGGGAAGGCUUACGCAGGGUAAUGUGACAGUAGGAUUCAUUACCUUCUAAUUUAAAUGGAGACUUUAGUUUUUCAAGUUCCCUUUUUAAGACUUUAUUGUAACUUUAUUACAAAUUAGUUCCAGCCAUUAGUAUACUGUAGAGAGGUUUACCUAAGUUUUCAAACUCAGACUUAAUGGUGUAAUGCAUGAGUCAUUAAGUUUGGGCUGGGACAUAACAUGGGGUUUCAGAGUAAGUAAUUUAUUUCUUCACAUUCCUUAGUGAUAAAUGCAUCUUUAUGAAUGUCUUUAAUAGUAAGGCUGCUUAGUCCAGGUUCCAUGUCUAUGACAACAUCCUCAUUAAGCCUACCAGGGUUGAUAUGUUAAUAUAUUUUGGGCAUGCCAGUUACCUCUCUCUCUUUCCAUCACCCCAGUGGCCUCUUAUGAGGGGGUUUGAUGCAACAGUUGCCCUUUGGAGGCAGGAGGUGUGUAAGGUAAUUACUGUCAGCAAGGAUAAAUAAUAUGUUCAAAUUUUCCAUUUCCCUUCUUGGCUCUGUUGCUGACCUUGUUUCUCUCCUUUAACAGGCCAUUAAAAACCAAAUUUGAAACUUUGGGCAGACUCUGUCUCAGUUACUGAUGGAGCCUCACCCUCCUUGCUCCUGAGCUAUGCAUUUGAUGAUCAGUGGUGAGGGAGACUCCCGAACACCCCGGCCACCACUCAUAGGUCAAGAAACCGAGGUCACGGCCCCUGUCAUUUCUGCCGAGCUCGGCCGUGUUGUCUCUGAUUCUAUUGGUCAGAGUCACCUGAUGCAUAUUAGAAACAUCAUUGAAGACGGGUCCUACAGUUGGUGUUUCACAACUUUUUGGACUUCCUUUGGAUGAAGAUAUGUGUCAACACCUCAUGGGCCAGUAGAACAAGAUCCUUAUUGUAUUGUGACUAGUUUGUAGAGUUUGUUGGUUUUAAUUAUGUUCUCACUUUGUUUUGUUUUAUCAGUUAGCAAUUGUUUGUAAUUGAGAGGAAUGACUGAUGAAAAUUUUGAACUCAAACCAGUGAAAGUUUGUAUUCUGUAUAAGGCUGUCUCGAAACUGUUAUGAAGAUGGUGGAUAUUAACAUCAAGGAAUGUGUAGAAUAUUGUCCUUUUCUAAUUCACAAGUAAAUUUGAUGUCAGUUUUGUAUUUUAGAUUCUCAUUUAUCUUGAGGGAAGAAGCUGUCUAUUGUAGAAAAGCUGAAGGGUAAUAUUAGGUCCCUGGUAAAACGGAUUUUGUCGUGAGAAGCUCCGCACACAGUGUACAGUAUUGCCAUUCUAGGCACUUGACAUCAAUUUAAUUAUUACCUUAUAAAGCUGGAACACUGAUUAGAUUCUAAAAGUUAAUCCUAGGAAGUAAUAUAAGCUCAUAACUUAAUUUUCAUAAGCCAAUGUGUACUGUAUAGUGAAUGAGACCAAUAAAUAUAUGUGAAAUUCCUAAUCAAGUCCUCCACACCCACACCCCCCUCCAC